AACGCGAAGAACCUUACCUGGCCUUGACAUCCCAGGGACCCUGAAGAGAUUUAGGGGUGCCGUAAGGAGCCUGGAGACAGGUGCUGCAUGGCUGUCGUCAGCUCGUGUCGUGAGAUGUUGGGUUAAGUCCCGCAACGAGCGCAACCCUUAUCUUCAGUUGCUACCAUUUAGUUGAGCACUCUGACGAAACCGCCUCGGAUAACGGGGAGGAAGGUGGGGAUGACGUCAAGUCCUCAUGGCCUUUAUGUCCAGGGCUACACACGUGCUACAAUGGCCGGUACAAACCGCUGCAAACCCGCGAGGGGGAGCUAAUCGGAAAAAGCCGGCCUCAGUUCGGAUUGGAGUCUGCAACUCGACUCCAUGAAGCUGGAAUCGCUAGUAAUCGUGGAUCAGCAUGCCACGGUGAAUACGUUCCCGGGCCUUGUACACACCGACAUA
This 438-nucleotide ribosomal RNA is filed under the name uncultured bacterium. Its description in RNAcentral is "bacterial SSU rRNA". It matches the Rfam family "Bacterial small subunit ribosomal RNA", at positions 958 to 1397 of the family's 1533-position model. The record is from RNAcentral.